Non-coding RNA from Pelobates cultripes (western spadefoot toad), 330 nucleotides. Lineage: Eukaryota; Metazoa; Chordata; Amphibia; Anura; Pelobatidae. The record is from the annotation of a GenBank genome assembly.
GAAAGAUUGCCCCCCAAAAAUUCAAAAAUAAGGAAAGUCAGUAGAGCCCCUGACACGCGUUUCACCAGUGGUAGCGCAUGAGAGAGGAGGUUGGAGUUCUUCCAACUGUCGAACUACAACUCACACAGUUCUCAGGGAUAGGUAGUCGUCCUCCAUCUAAAGUGUCAGGUGGAAACCCAGCGAGAGGAGGUAGAGGUAGUCUGCUUCCCACCCCAGUGGCAGAGUGCAACCCAGAUAGAAGAGUCAGUCAGCCUCCUUCACCAGCGGAAGAUGGCAAGCAAGGGAGAGGAGGUUGUUGGCCUCCUUCCCUAGCAGCAGAUGGAAACCCAG